GGGAGCGGCGGACGGGUGAGUAACACGUGGGAAUGUACCUUUCGGUGCGGAACAACUCAGGGAAACUUGAGCUAAUGCCGCAUACGCCCUUACGGGGAAAGAUUUAUCGCCGAAAGAUCAGCCCGCGUUGGAUUAGCUUGUUGGUGAGGUAAUGGCUCACCAAGGCGACGAUCCAUAGCUGGUUUGAGAGAACGACCAGCCACACUGGGACUGAGACACGGCCCAGACUCCUACGGGAGGCAGCAGUUGGGAAUCUUGGACAAUGGGGGAAACCCUGAUCCAGCCAUGCCGCGUGAGUGAUGAAGGCCUUCGGGUUGUAAAACUCUUUCGACGGGGACGAUAAUGACGGUACCCGUAGAAGAAGCUCCGGCUAACUUCGUGCCAGCAGCCGCGGUAAUACGAAGGGGGCUAGCGUUGUUCGGAAUUACUGGGCGUAAAGCGCGCGCAGGCGGCUAUCCAAGUCAGUGGUGAAAGCCCGGAGCUCAACUCCGGAAUUGCCAUUGAAACUGUUUAGCUCGAGUACGAGAGAGGUGAGUGGAAUUCCCAGUGUAGAGGUGAAAUUCGUAGAUAUUGGGAAGAACACCGGUGGCGAAGGCGGCUCACUGGCUCGUAACUGACGCUCAAGCGCGACAGCGUGGGGAUCAAACAGGAUUAGAUACCCUGGUAGUCCACGCCGUAAACGAUGAACGCUAGCCGUUGGCCAGCUUGCUGGUCAGUGGCGCAGCUAACGCAUUAAGCGUUCCGCCUGGGGAGUACGGCCGCAAGGUUGAAACUC
This 775-nucleotide ribosomal RNA is filed under the name uncultured Alphaproteobacteria bacterium. RNAcentral describes it as "bacterial SSU rRNA". It matches the Rfam family "Bacterial small subunit ribosomal RNA", at positions 91 to 902 of the family's 1533-position model. The record is from RNAcentral. Lineage: Bacteria; Pseudomonadati; Pseudomonadota; Alphaproteobacteria.